GGAGCCAUAUGGGCAUGAAAUUGAUAUAUCAUCAAGAAACUAUACAGAGAUCAGGCUAGCUUUCAAGAAUCAAGAAGAAAAGAAAGAGAAGCAAAGAUGAAGAAUAAUGGGUCCUUGCCUUCUCAAUACCCCAACUCCAAAACCUUUGAAGCAAGAGAAGAUGCUCGCAGUUUCAAGGAAGAGAGAGCUCCUGUUACAGAGAAAAAACCACCAGAAAAGCUAGAGAGCAAGCCAUCCAUGGAC
Molecule: unclassified non-coding RNA, 243 nt
Filed under: Hevea brasiliensis (rubber tree)
Lineage: Eukaryota; Viridiplantae; Streptophyta; Magnoliopsida; Malpighiales; Euphorbiaceae
Source: RNAcentral